This 31-nucleotide non-coding RNA is filed under the name Homo sapiens (human). Lineage: Eukaryota; Metazoa; Chordata; Mammalia; Primates; Hominidae. The record is from RNAcentral.
UGGUGAUACUGGGUCUCAAGUCCUUCAUGCC